This 9648-nucleotide long non-coding RNA is filed under the name Homo sapiens (human). Its description in RNAcentral is "HSALNT0230657". Lineage: Eukaryota; Metazoa; Chordata; Mammalia; Primates; Hominidae. The record is from RNAcentral.
CUCGCCGUGAGUCGACGAAGGGAGCGCGGGCGCGCGCCCGCGUCCGCGCACUGAGAGUCGCCUCGGCCGCUCGCUUUCUCGACUCCCGCCUCGCGCCUCGAUCCUGUUCCGCCUCCCUCGGCCCUCCUGCCCGCCCCCACUCGUCGGCCCUCAGCUCAGAGACCUAAUAGGAUGGGGUCUUAGAGAAACAUCUUUUGAGCCACAGACUUCUUUGUUACCAGAAGGAAAAUGAAAGAAGAAAUUUAAAUACCACUUGAAGAGAGGUAAAUAAAUGAGAAAUGGGGCUGAGAGGGCGGGUAUUUUUUUAAAAAUUCAUUAAAUGGAAAAAUCCACAAAUGUUAAUUCUGGUAGAUUUCUUAGAAAUUACAUCAGAGGAGCAUGCUUGGUCUUCCCACCCUCAUUAGGCCUCAGUGACAGGUACUUGAACAACUGAGCCCCUAAUGUGCAUGCUCCCCCACCCCUGAAGCCAGUCUCUGCCCUCCUCUUCCCUCCUCUUGCCCCUGGAAGCUGAUCGCCACCAACUGGCCUCUGGGUGGAUUUGGCCAAUGGAAGCACCUGUAGAGGGAAGAGAGUGAGGUUAGGAUAUUUCUUCCUGCUGUCUCCGUGCUUCCCUGCAGAGAGUGUGAAGAAAUGACCCUGAAAAGCCUCUGGCAGAGGAUUCUUCUUUCAGGAUGGUGUCGCCUCCUCAGCAGCCCAUCCUCCUCCCCUGGACUCAAGCUCUCAUUCCAGUAACACUCCUUCCUCCUUCUCCAUCUUCAGGGGGAGGUUUGCCAGUCGGUGGGUUCUAAGCAUAUCUCGCUGAUUCCCCCCAACCCUGCCGACACCUCUGUAGGUCGUCCCUUCAUUAAAAUCUCUCCAUUUGAACUAUCUGAGUUUAAUUCCAUUUCCUCCUGGUAUCUCAGUGAUACACGGUAUCAGUACAAAAAUCUCGCUUCACCUUCAGAACCAACAGAUUUGAGACAUUUUAUCCUCUGUGGAACCAUUAGUUAUUUUGUCAUUGGUUGUAUCAGAAAAAAAAAUCAGGAAUGCAAAUCCUUCUUUAUUACAGAUUCAGAUUUGCAUAUUACCAAUGUUAUAUAUUUUAAACAAAACUAUUCAUCAUAAGUUUUAAAAAUUAACUACUGGAGUAGUUAAUGAAUCUGAAUGUAAUUAUGUAGCUUUCAUAAUAUUAAAGUAAAAAUACUAAAAGAAGUAUUUCUUAAAGAAGCAAAUGCUCAAUCUCCAAGUAAAUUUUAUUCUAUGCUCUUCCGGUAUAAGAAUAUGUUAAUAUCUUGAAAAAUAUCAUAUUAUUUUGUGAACUCAUAAAGCUAUUUUGAGUUUUUGUAAAAUGAAAACCUUACCAAAAUGUAUUUUAUUGUUGGAAAGCUUGACCGUUACUGCUGUUUAAUUUUUUGAGCUUGUAAACUUUAUUUGUGCAUGUUUUCAACAAAGAAGGAUUUUAUUGUUAUUACAUAAAACAGGUGAUUUCUAGAUUUUAAAAUCACAAAUUGAAAGCAAGGCACAAUAAUAUAUAUUUCAAGAUAUAGGUACUUAGGAGGCAUCCUUUUAGUCAUCUGUUCAAUGUAGCCAUCUAUUUUACACCUACUGUCUACUAUUGUUUGAGGUCCUUGCCAAAGUAUUGCAGGCUAGUUAGGAAACAUAAAACAAUUAGAAAGUAAUCUAUGACAAGUAAGCUAUCUAUAAAUGGCAAUGAAGGGUAGAACAAAUUCAAUGAAAAUAUCUAUUUAAUCCUAGUGUUUACUGGUCUAGAAGAAUAGGCUGAGUAAAUUAGUAUUUCUCUGGCUGUUGUGGUAACACAUUGCAUGCUAUAACAGUUUUAAGUAAUUACAGGUGCAUUGAAAUUUAUCUAUGGCUUUGUCAUCAUAUUCUAAAAUGUCAUGAGUACUUUUUUCUGACCUCAAUUACUAUGAAAUUGGUUUCCAAUAUUUAAUUAACCAAGAAUAUCAAGUCUAUAGGGUAUUAUUAAGGUGAGACUUCUGUAGCCUUUUCAAUAAAGACCAGAAUUUUGGAGUGCCUUGAACCUUAAUCAUUGAUCUUUAAUUCUUAUUAAGUCAACUGCCCACCUUUUAAAGACUGAGGCCCAGGAAGAGUAAGUUUCUCUGAGACAAUGCAUACAGUACAGUGCUUCUUGGGUAUUGGCUCUAAGACCAGAUGCAAAGAAAGGCUAAAAUCCCAUUUCAUUGUUCAUUAGGUGAGAACCCUUUGUUAAGCUGUGUAACCUCUGUGCAUAGUUUCCUCAUCAGCAAAGUCAGAAAAAGUAUGUACCUGAAGGACUGAUUGUAAGGCUGGGAUGAGAGAAUCCAUGUGAUCAGCCCUCACCAACAGGUGCUGCCCAGUUCAUGAGUGCUGCUGCUGUCCUGCCCAAGUACCCAGCUUGCAGAGUGCCAGAGUUAGAGUCCCAGGGGUGUUCUCCACAGCUGCAUGCUUGAUCCAGGCCUAUCAGAUAUAUUCCAUUGAAAGUCCUCAUUCUCAAAUUUAAAACAAAGACUUUUUGUGUACCUCAAUAGCAAUGCACACACAGUUGGCUUCACAAACAUAUUGUACAUUUCUUUUUUUCAUAUUUAUUCAACAAAUGUAUAUUGACUACCCACCGUGUGACAGGUGUUAUUUGUUGACGGAACCAGGCAUCAUCAGCAAACAAAACUGACAAAGCUUCCUGCCCUCUGUGGAAGGCAUCUGAGGAAGAGACUGGAUUUUGUAGCAACAUGUUAUUCUCAUUAUAAACUUUAUCAUUGGAAUACUAAAGCCAAAUCAUCCCCCAUCUCCUUGAUCAGGAUACCCACUUAAUCUAGGCAGCUACACAAUUGUGAGAGCCUUUGUUUUUUUCUGCUGAAACAUCCUUAAAAAGAUACCUCACAACCCAAGAUUUGGCUUUUCUUAAAUACGAUUUUUAAUUUUUUUCAUUUCUAUCUAGAGAUUUAAUUGGAAAUGGAAAAUCAUCAAUUUUCCAAUUAAAUGUCUGUUCCAAUCAACAUUAUACCUUUUAGGUUGUCAUUGUCAUUUUUAAGUUUAAGCAACUUUAAGGAUUUUGAAUCUGGCUGCCUGUAAAUUAAAGGUGAAAGUAAUCAUUGUGUUGGAUUGGAACAUUUUGUCAAUUGAGAGUGGUUUCCUUGUUCUUAGUGUAUGAAAAGUUUAUUUUUCUAAUGUAGAUUAAUAAAGGAGAUAAAGAAAAACAAAAUGAGUGAUUUAUGUGUGUGAGAAAAGAACCAUUUCCUCAAGGAUUAAAUAAAAUUCAUACCUUUUGUUUCUUUUGAAAAGUUUUUAAAAUAAAUUUUAAUGAAUGUGUCCUUUAAAUAUUCCUUUAAAAAUGUAUCCUAUUUUAAAAUGGACUCUCUGAGAGAAGGAAUUGAUACCUGUGUUUAAAAUCAAAAAUAGCAUGCAUAGAGACUGUUUUUCUAGUUGGUUGAAGCUUUUUUCCCUCUCCUUUACAUCAGUGAACCAGCAUCUUGCCCUUCAGACCCUACAGCACACUCUUGGGCUCAUGAAGUGUAUGACACAUCCUCCUUGGGGGAUCGGCCAUGUCCUCGCUCUCAUGACCACAUGAAUUCUUCUGUAUGUCUUUUCUCACAGCUGAGUACUCUCUUCCUGACCCCCUUGUGGAAUGGGGAAAGGAGGCUGUGACAUUGUGCUUGUGCAAACAAUAAUUGAGAGCUUUCCGAGUCUCCUGCAUCUUCAUAAAUGAUUUUUUGUUUUAUGCUGGGACAGUAGUUCUUUAAAUAGAAUAUUCUCCCAUGGAAAUCGCCCACAAUGCUGAGAGUACACCUUGCAAAAGGUAAGUCUAGAAUAUAGGGUGCCUCCUCAGCAUUGCCCAGAAGCUGAAGUUAGGACUCUCUAGAAUACCAAAAACAAAUUUAUAGCAGUUCAUUAAUGUAAGGAAUUAUGAAAACUGUGUGCCACCAUUAUCCAUAGAUGAAACAAGAGCCACCACGCAAGCACAGACACAAAGCCCUGAAGAUGAAGCCAUUGACAGGGCUCUCAUUUAUUCUGUAGAAACCCACUUGCCUGUUUUUGAACCAGUUUUCUUUGGAGCAUAUGUCUCACUGUGCAACCAAAGUGGUGUUUAUAUCCUAGUCACUUGGCAAAAAUUCUGUCAUUGCUUCAGGGAGAUCCAUUUUAGGCCUGAAGCAUGGAGCUGGUAAUAGAUGGGAUUUGGUACUUCUGAAGAAAAGACCCUACUGCAAAUUUAGAGAGUUAAUUUUUUCUUUUGUUCCCCAUAAUAUUGUUGCUAGAUAGAACUACCUUUUUUGACUAGAAGUUAAAUAUAGAGGCCUAAAUCAAUUAGGUAACUCCCACUCAUUCUAAAUGAGAACAUGUUUGUUUUUCUCCAACGAGAUGAGAAAUAUUUGAGGCGCUUCCUGAUAUCUCUAUCACCCACUGCAUUUUUUCACUUGAUGUAUAUUUCCCCAUGUAUUUGGGAUAAUUUUCAAAUAAUUGCCCUUUAGAAAUCUACUUGAUAUUAAAUGUAAAAAAAAAGCAAGAUGCAAAAUUAUUAUAGGAUGCAUUUACAGAAAUUACAAAAUUUCUAUAAACUAUUUAUGGAGGAAGACUUAUAGAGUAUAUGUCAACACAUUGCUUUAUUAUUGUCCUUGGUUAUGAGUAUGGUUUUUUUGAAACCUGCUUUGUACUUUGGGUGUUUUCUCACCAUUGGUACAAUUGAGGCAUUUUUCCCUCUUCUUCAACCUUGCAAAUCACACGUGAGGAUGCUCAUAGAAGUGCCUCUCAGACAGGCUGUUGUUUUGCUUUCACCAAUAAAUCAUUUAUAAUUAGAAGUAGAAAACUAUUCUUUCCAGUGCAAAUACAUCCCUUUCAAAAGCAGUUCUCUUUUUGUGAAUGAUGUCUAGUGUCUAAGAAACGAGGGUAACCUUUAUUAUAUGCAUUGCUCUAAUCGAAGCAUUGUUUUUUGCGGUGAACUCAAGGUUACAUGUUUAAGAAAAGCAUCGGGUUAAUUCCAUUAGGAAAAGUGUCUUAUUCAUAAACCUUUAGCCACUGGAAAAACACCAUUAGGAGGCCACACAAGUGUGUAUAGCUGGAUAGAAUUUGACAACUGGCAAAACAAAACAAUAGCCUACAAUUGCAGAGUGCUGUCUGUUUAAAAACCAACAUAUCUUUCACCAACAAAUACAUAUUCACCUCAACACGAGACUUUCAUGUGGUUAUUAAUAUCAAAUUUUUGAAUGUCCAAAUUUUGGAGUGUAGUCUAGCAGAGGUAAACUGAUUUGCCUAAGGUCCUUCAACUGUCAGAGGUAGAAUUAUUUUCUCUCUCCUGGCUCUAAAACCUGUCCAGAUUCUCCUGCAACACUGUCCUUCAAAAACACACUUCCGCUGACUCCAGUGCUGGUGAUGUCAUGCUUUAGCUAGUAGUUAGAGGUGACUUAACUUUAAAUAUGGAAUCUUUUUUUCCUAUUAAGCAAUGAGGUUUAGUUUGAAAAUUCUUAGAGAUGAUAAACCCCUCUCCUUUUUUUCUUCCUUCUCCUCUUUUGUCCUGAACAAUGUUCCAUAUAUAUUACUGCCAGAAACAGAUUCUUGACAUUCCUGUUAUGCUUUUCCACAUCUUGUAAUCAUUUCUACAGCUGUUAGCAUUGCCAACAAUUAUAUUUCCACUUUUAAAAAAUUGUUACAAAGAUGCAGAGAGAAAAGAGGAAAGCCAAGGAAUAAACUACAGGCAAUUAUGGGAUAUUUUUGUGAUGUGACAUUUUGGGAACUGAGGCAGCAUCACUGAUACUGCACUACUUUUUAAUAUCUAGAUUUUAAUCUUUUGUAUGAAGAUAAAAUUCACAUGCCUUAAACCUGACCACAACAUAAUAGGGCAUUUAUUUUUCUAAUUUUGAUACCAUCCACAUUUCUUAACUAUAAGAAGAAUGCUUAUGUUGUACCAGGUUAUAUGAUGUUGCCAAGAAGUAGAUGUGUACCAUUUACUAAUACAUCCUUUUGGAAAAUGCGUAUUAAUAACAUAUUAAGGAGUAAAUUGACGUUGUGCAAAGUGAGCCUGUGAGUUUAAAUGUAUGGAUUGUACACCUUGCUCUUCCUAAUUGCAGAUUUAACAGGAUUUGAUGACCUAAUGAGUUUAUUUCUGAAUGAUUUAUAUUUCUUUGUCAGUUCAAUGAUUUAGUAUUUUAAAUUUUUUUAAAUCACAUUUUAUUGAGAUAAUGCUAUUAGUGUUUCUUUCCCAUCACUUAACAAAGUUAAGUCACUCCUCUCCCACCCCACUUUUGUACCUACCAAUGUUUUUUUCACAGUUACAGGCUGAUUGGCUUGACGUGUCUUAGGAUACCACCCAAAGAGAGCUUCAUUUUAUAAAUACCAAGCUCAUUUUCCUAAAUAUUUUCAAAAAGAUAGAUUUAUCCUCAUAUAGUAAAUUCAGAUUAAUAAUUUUGGAAAGGGUCAUGUGACCAUGGUAUUACAUGGCUGUGGAAGACCCUCCAAGAUCUUGUUUUGGGAUAGAAGGACUCAGACAUCCAAACUUUUAAAUUAAUGAACUUAUUAAAUUCUAAAACUUUGUAACAGUGUUAAUUUGAGAAGUAUAAUAUUUUGCUUAAGGUCUGUUUUGCUUUGCAAAAUGCAUCUCCUUCAUUUUCAUAUUAUGUUGGAAGCUUAGCAUGAAAGAACGUGCCUCAGAGGAAACCAUAGGUAAGCAUACUUUAACAAAAGUUAGUGUCAUCAUGUUUGUGUCUUUGCCUGUGGUUUUUUAAAUGUAUAAUGUUUAACGUUGAUUUGGCUAUCAAAUUACAUUUUCUUUUGUUAAAAAAUUCUGUAAAUUAGAAAUGUACUGAAUCAUUUAUUUAGCAGACUGAAGGUGGGUAAUGUUGGCUGAACAGGUUUAAGCCACAGUAAUUUGAAAAUGUAAAUACAUAAAAUAAUGUCAUUUCUCUUCCACUCAAUGUUUCUUCACCAAAUAAAGUCCAGCCUGCUCUGAAUUUGUUGCCAGUAGGAACAAUGUUACAGUGAAUCAUGGUUUAAUAUACCUUGAAAAUGGCACAUCUGUUCUGUGAUAGCUUACCAAUUUUAGCCUCUUUAUAAAAUACGAAGAGUUUGUCAACCAGAAUAAUCUAGAACCUGGCAAUUCAAAUACCAUUCAAAGCAAAUGUUUUAUCUAAUAACUGGAACUAAAUGUUAGGCCUCAUGACAGUUCAAUAUUUACUAAAUAAGUUUAAUAACAGGGUAAGCCCUCAGUAUCCAGAGCAGAGACAAGCACACCAUAUUUACACAUACAAAUUCUGCCUUUAGCCAUCUGAAAGGGCCCCGAACUAUUGCAGCAAGCAAAGAGUCUUUGCAUUGUCCUAAAAUCCAUACAAUACUUUAUAUUUUACACAUUUUAAUAGCUAGUUUAACAAAUAACAAGUACCAUGCUUAAUUCUCUGCAUGCAUUAUUUCAACUAAUUAUUGGAAUAAUCUUAUAAAGUGGGUACUUUCGUCUCAGCUUACAGGUGAGAAAACAAAAGUUAAAUAGAUCGCCCAGGGCUCUGCUGGAACGUGUUAAGCAGGGAUUUCAGCCUGUCCAGUCAGACCCCAGAAGUUGUGUUCUUAACCAUUAGCAACACAUCAUCCCAGGCAGGCCCUACAUGAGCCUCAUAACCAAUUUUAUGCUGGAUAGUAUUAUCCCUAUUUCACAGAUGGCAAAACUGAGGUCCAGAGACUUUAAGUGACCUACCCAAAAUUACAGUCAUGAGCAGAGGCACUGGAAUGUAGGGCCUUGACACUCUACCUCACGUGGUCCUCUUUCCUGUUUUGGGUAGUUCUCCACUACCACUACUCAUUUCUGAUGCUGGAAAGGCUGUGUUUUAUACAUUUCUGUUUCUGGCUUGGAACGAAACACUCUGGGUCUCUGCUUGAUCAGUGUCCCCUCUAAACUGCACCUCACUACAGUAGGGAUGGCAUAAGAUACUUCUUUACACAGCAUCUUUUUGUUCCCACCUCACCCCCAGAGCUGUAAUAGGUAGAGCCAGCCAAAUGUCAAAGGGAUGAUUUGUCUUGUCACCACUAGUUUCCCUUUUCUCUGCCUUGUAUGUAACAGGAAUAUUCUUUAGUUCCUCCUUAUGUUCUAAAGCACCUCCCCAACCUAAAAAUAGAAGAGGAGUUGUGGGUCAUUUACACUUUAGUGUGAAUUUGCCCUUGUGACUUUGCCAAGGCUGUUGUGCCUAACCCUUUCAAUCUAACAGCAGAAUGAGAGUCUCUGGACUAUCCUGGCUCCUUCCCUGAGAAGAAUGAACUGGGAAUUGUUGGUCUAGACAUCAAGACUACCAGAGACCUAUUGCUCAGAGAUGUUUGGGCUGUACAAUUUCUGUAGAUAUGGCAUCUGGAGCAGCCUUUUCUAAGCAAUGGCAUUAUCAUUCCAGGCUCUCUCGCUCUUUCCAUCUCUCCACCAGGUGGACUCUUGCCCUCCACCCCUUCCAAUUUGUCAGUGAUUCAGAGAACAUUCUCCAUCCUUCCAAUGAUUACAUUCCUUCAUCUUGCUGGGGCGCCAAUUCAGUGAUGGAGCGGCUCUUGGGAGCAGCCUUGGCUUAUAGUGCAGCUCUCUGCUACCUUCAACAGGCUGGUAUUCGGGGUGCUUAGAUGUGACUGGUUGUACGCACGUGUGUGUAUGUGCAUGUGUGUACAGCAGUAAGAGCUUUCGAGGUAGAUACUUGAGGAAGCCUCAGACAUCUAGCCCCAUUACUGGGGCAAUGUCUUACUUGGGUUUUUCCAGAAACAGACCUGGAGACCAGGAUUCAAGUGCCAGUGGUAUAUUUGGGAUGUGAACCCUGCAAUGCUGGUAGGAGAGUGGAGAAGUGAGGCAAGGAAAGGAAGGCCGUCAAGGGGCGUGUUAGGAGGUCAUUCACCACCGCAGGUAGCCCGCUGGGGACCUCUGGGAGCAAGUGUGGCGCACAAGCCUCAGCAUUACUGCCCUGUGCCUUGAGGAGUAAGGGAUAAGGAUUUUCCCCACCAGUUCCCUGUAGUCCUUGGUGAGAGCUUCUGGGGUGGAGGUUAAGGUCUUUAGGUCAGAGAAAUUUUCUUUAGUUUCGGAAAAAUCUUUCAGGCCGAGGUCCAGACACUCACUGGAACACACUGAAGUGGUUAGGUCCAAGGGCUGUAGGCAGAGCUCCCAUAUCCAUCUGCAGAGGUGUUUCAGGUGGAAGGAGUGGAGACAGCCUUCUCUGCUCCACACUGUCUUCAGCAAGGGUUUCUGUAUCUGUGCAUUGAGGAUUAAAUUAUUCACAUGGUCAGAGAAGCCCAUCACCACUGAUAGUUAUUGUAGGUAUGGAAAACUAACGACUAAGAAGGGAGAAAAAUAUACCAAGCAGUUGGCUUGGCUGAACACAAGUAAAGACUCUUACAGUCACUGGUGUGAACUGCUUAUUAUCAAUGUCUGAUUACAGUGCUGCAUACUAAUGAUUAUGCAUGUCAUUAAAUGUGUCAGAUUAACUUUGUUAUAAAAUUUAUGACAACAUUAAAUUUUAUUCACAUGCUCAGCCUUCAUAAUUUAUUGCUUAUGUAGCAUGGUUUUAACUUCAGAAAAACCUCCAAGACAGUGUUGUCUUGAUGACUACACUGCUUAUCCGUGAGUCUAGUUUUCCUGUUCAUUUGAAAUGUUCACAUUACAUUCAGCUCUGUCUCAAGCACUGAGACAGAGCUGGAAUCAGUGCCCAGCGAUUCCACUUGCCGAGUGAUUGA